RNAcentral lists this long non-coding RNA (1518 nucleotides) under Equus asinus (donkey). RNAcentral describes it as "lncRNA (ENSEASG00005023582.1)". Lineage: Eukaryota; Metazoa; Chordata; Mammalia; Perissodactyla; Equidae. The record is from RNAcentral.
GCCUUUGUAUUUUUUAUUUAUAUGUACCUCGACGUUUUUUUUUAUGAUUCUGUCCUUGAAUUCAAGAAAAUACUUUGACAUUUGAAUUCGCAGUGUUUCUUUUUGGAUAUCCAAAUAAAACCUGGGUACCAGUGAGUAUUUCAGUUUAUGUAAAUUUAACAGUUCCAAAGGUAUCUGCCCUACCUCACUAUAGUCCGAAGUGCACUGCUGGAUCUCGUAUAGAUUUGAAUGUAUGACUUGUAAAUGGCUUAGUCUGUUUGACCUGUUGAUUUGCCUAAUUUCCCUGCAGCAAUUUUAAAAAAAUGCUUUGGUGAGAAUGUUUUUCUGAGUUUGAAGGAUUUCUUUAUAAUGGCGGAUUACUUUAACCACUUGCUAAAGUAGUAUAAACCUGCCAGCAGAUUGUAAGUGUUAACUAAGCUCCUAAGCUUACAGUUUUUAUUUGUAAUAAAAUUAUAUAACUAAUCUAAACACUUACCUUAUAAUUAAAAGUAAUGUAAAUUCUCUAAUAAAAAUCUGUUUUGCAGGUAAGACAACUAUAAAAAACAUAUGAGGCAACUGGAUGUUUACUAAUGUUGGAUUAACAAUAGAAAUGUACUUUACAUAUAUAUUUAAGAGAAAGUGGGUGCCUGGGAAUAUUUCUUUUCCUAGUAAGUCAUAUUGGCACAGAGAAAAAAAUACUUAAAUUUUUGGAGUAACGUCUGCUAUCUCCCUUUUAAGUAGUAAGUUGAUAGCAUGAGGCUUUGAUUUCCAAUAUAAACUACUAGAAUUUUAUAGUCACCAGAAUAUUAUAUUUCUUUUCAAAGACUCUUAAGAUCUCUCUUCCUUUUGCAAUUUAAAGGAAAAAAUUAAGUCAAAUCCUCAAGGAAAAAUACUUUUUGAAAUUGGUCACCAUCUGUUUUAGUGUUUGUAUUUCAAUAAAGAGUUCACCUUAGGGUUGGGGUUGAGAUUGAGCGCAAUAUAUUUGGAGAUUUUUACAUAGCAACACAGUGCACUGCCAUAUACCGACUUGCUAAGGUUUAAUUCAAUAAAUUGAGUCUUACAUUGGCCUGGUGCCAUAUUGAGAUAACUCACUAAAGAGUGGGUACCUGUCAGUACAACGAUGCUGGGAAAUCCUGACUUUGAGCAAAUAUUAUGAAAAUUCCUUUUUUUACGUAAGACAAAAAAAAGUGAUUGAUUUUACCAAAAAAUUCACCCCAGGGUUUAUUUAAAUAGUUCCUCCUGUGUAUUUAAAUAGGAUUGAUUUAUGGUAAAUUUUUCUGGGACACCUUAUAUGACUCGAAGUUUACGAAAACAAAUAUCAGCAUAUACAUAAAUGGUAUAGUUAACAGAAUUAUUCUUGAUGAAGAUUUAUUCUUUUAGGAAUUGCACUUUAUUUGGAAUAAUACUAGUUUAUCACGAAAUAAUAACUUACCUACCUCACAGGGUUGUUGUGAGGAUUAAGAUGUUUGUUAAAACUUUGACUACUUUGAACAUGCUAAUAAAAAAUGUAUUUUUUCUACCUCUUUCAUGUAUAGGCAA